GUUGUUGAAUGUACCUCCACAUCUCCCUCGUAGCCACACGCAGAAACACACACACACACACGUGCAUUCAUAAGCGAACCAUCGUUGCACAUCCCCGGCCAUCCUCAUCGCCAAGUGCCGCUUCAUUUCGUUGGAACGAACACAGCAGCUAAAACCAAGGCAGAAACGUGUGUGCUGCCUUCGAUCUACCCUUUUCGAACUUGGGCCCCAAAAGCGUUGUCCACUUUGUUUUUCUCGCUAGCACAGCGCGCUGAUUCUGUCUGCAUCGACUCUGCCGGCCAGCGCAAUGGGCCAUGCCGUCAGCCGCAAGACGUCCCUGGCGAAGAAGCUGGAGACAACGAUGCGCAUUAAUGAGGCACCGUUGCCCAUCGCCUCUGAAAGGGGCGCGCCGGUGGCCGCCGCGGCGCACGAGAAGCAGCGCGGGGACGACUCCCAGGAGGGUCUGACGGAGGAAAUGAUCGAAGGGCUGACGCGCAGCAGCGUCGGCAGCACUCACAGCAAGGCAAAGGACACGGUCAACGACUGGAUCACCGUGGCAAACUACUUCGUGAAACACAACACGGACGCCUUAAAGCAGCACGAGGAAAGCAUGCGUACUCUCGCUGCUAUGCAGGCUGCGCAGCACAACCUCCGGAGCUUUAGCAAGCCGAAUCUUCAUGCCCCCUCUAGGUCCAAGGACUCGAGGAAUCAUGCUGCGAUCGUCAUCACAAGGUCGCACUCCUGAUGGGAUGGAGCGGAGCGACAGCAGCAACGAAAAGUGGAAAAGGAGGAACGAUGUGCAUGUAGUGAUAGCCAGCCUAUCCGUGCAUGUCUGUCUCUCUCUGUCUGAGCCGGUGCGUGCGUUCAUGUCUGUUGAGAGAGAACGCGGAAGGGGCAUAGCUGUGCUGUGCGGUGGCGCGGUUCUAUUUUCCUUCGGCUAGCAGGUCGUCUACGAUAUUUGGUUAGCGUCUUCGCUCGCAUACUUCAUUAUCUCCCCCUCCACCCCCCCCCCACACACACACGUCACCCGACUCCUUCACCUCGUACGUCCUCCAUCCUUUGUGUGUGUGUGCGGGUGUCGUGGAAUAGUGCUGCCUUUGGCGUCAGUGAUACUUUACCGUGUCUUUCUCUUUGUCGCUCUCUCGCUGUGUGUUGUAUACGCCACAUGGUGAAUGGGGUGGCGCAAGCUCGCUUCUUUCGCUUCCCUGUGCACCUCCCUCCCCCCUCCUGUGUGUGUGUAUACAGCAUCUCUUCACUGUUCGUCUUUUACAUCUCUCUUCCCCUUUUGUAUUGUAGUUGUGGCCCCUGACGUUGGUCUUGCCGAUGCGUUUAUCGCAUGGCAUGUGCGCUUGUGGUAAUGCGAUGUGUUCCUGUCCUGCCCGCCUCCCUCCUUCUGCUCCGUCACUCUCACUUGCGGGCGCACCGUCGUUUUCCUUUCUUCACUUCCGUCCUUUCACCUCUGCAGCCUGUCUCUCUUUCUCUGUGUGUGUGUUGUACCUCGAUUUGUCCCUGUGAUGCAUGCCGUCGUUGUCGAUGUGUCUCUUCGAGUGAUCCGUUCCACAGAGCCCCCUUGUUUCCCGCGCAGCGCACGUGCCUCCCCCAUAUCUAUCUUUUCUUUCCAAUCCUUUCUCAAUGACGUGUGUAUGCACAUGCAUUCUCGGAGAGCAUCCCUGGACUACUCUACAAGCUUCUCCGCAACACGUAUACUGUACCCGGACACACACACUUGCGCACCGGCCGGUAGUAGCACCAACACGCAAGUUAAACAAGAGCAGGCCCGAUGAGAAAUAGAGAAGGAAGUAGAGAGAAGGAGGGGGCUGAAAGGCACACAUACACAGGUGAACACAGAGAGAACGCGCUCAGCUGGACUUCGCCGUUUGAGACUCCCAUGUGUGUGUGUGUGUGUGCCGAUGUGACUGCCUUCAUGCGAGUGUUUGUGGUGUUGUGCGCGUCUGCCCGGCCCUGUGCUCUGUGUUUGCUGUGCUGCACACAACUAUACAGGGUGCUGUGGGGGAGGGGUCGCCGCGCAUCCCCCUCCCCGCAGAUGCGCGCCCCCCUCUCUCUUGCUUGACAGGUGUGCCUUUCUGUGCUGCUGCCGCCGCCUCCUCGUUUCUUCCUCAUCAUUGGCCGCCUCUGCGUUUACUUGUCUACUUCGCUUCUUCUCCCCCUCCCUCCCUCUGCCGUUAUGUGUUUCCCUCCAUCGCUUUUUCCUCUCUUUGUUCUUGACUGGAAGCUGCCCUUUGCCGUUGCUGCCGACCUGUGGAUUUGCCGGUGUGGCGGAGCGAGCUUAUGGUGGACGCGUGCGGCCAUGCUGUACGCAGAUGUAUACAUGUAUAUACAUAUAUACAUGUGUGUGUGUGUGUGUCCUUGAAAAGCUUCAUGGAUGCCACACCAUUUUUAUUCUGCAUUGGCCGCCUUUGGCCUCCCCCUUUCUCCACCUGCUCUUCGCUCCUUUUUGGCUACACCGCCCACCCCGCCCUUCGUGCAUGCAGAUGUGUAUGCGUGCGUGGGAGUAGAGGUGGAGAAGAAUGGGGAAGGACAGAGAGAGGUCGUACAUCGAGAAAAGGCGGAACGGGGAACCGCGAUGAUGCACCUCCGCCCCUUCUCUCCUGCGGGCCCGCUGAGUGAGGGCAUGCUGGUAUGGGUUGUCACUGCCGCCUCUCUCGUCUUGGUUUCUUUCACAUUCACGGGGGGGGGCGCAUCGCAUCAACGCACGCACAGGCACAUCAGUACUCGCCCACUUCACUGUCUCCCUCCUCCUUGCCAUCGGAGGUGCAAGGUGGCGCUACAGUUACAGCCGAAGGGCCGCAUGUGUGUUUCGAAAAAGGGCAGUCCAUGCGACUAGCAGUGCUGACAAUGCGGAACGAUAAGCUUCUAAGCGGAGAGAAAGGUAGAGGAAGACUGCCUGCAUCGUCGAUGAACGAGUGGAGCGGAAAAGACGACGUGGAUGAUGUAGUAACGCCGAGUGUAGGAGUCUCCUUGUGUGUGCGUGUGUGACACGGAGAGCUGCAUUGGUUCCUCCUCGCUGAAGCAAAACGCGCACAUGUGCAUAUGCCUUGCAACGCCUGCGUAUGGCAUGCGUCUUCGUCCCCUAAAGAUGCUCGCCCUCCCCUCCCCCUCCCUGUGUCCAUUUUGGCGCGUGGUGUGUUGCUGCUCUUGUACCGUUCUUGUGUCUGUGCAUUUGCCUCUUCUGUUUGUAUUUUGUGGUUCCUUCUCCCCCCCUCCCCACCUCCAACAGCUGUCUUCUGGCGCCAGCAACAGAACACGUAGAGAACAUGUAUGCGUUGGCCGGAGAGCGUGCUCUCCCUACCUGUCCUCUUCCAUUCUUGCUCCUUUCCGGAGUCGCUCCCGUUCGGCGAUGGUGCGUUUUCAGUUUCUGCGUUUGCUUCCACCUCCACCCCCACCCUCCCCUCUCCCUCUGCCAUCGCCGUCUCUCCGCUCCACUUUUAUGCGCCACCGCGCGUGUACGUGUGUGAGCGCGCGAUGAUGUUCUCCCUUCUCGCCUUCUGCCACGUUCUCUUGCUGCGAUCUUUGCUGUUUUUGGCUUCCGAGGUGCCUUUGACCAUCCCUCCGUGCAUGUGCGUAUUCAUUCCUCUCCUUCGAAAGCGGGCGCCGCACUGGUGCUCCACAGGGUGCUGCCGUGUGGCUCCGCUUUACCUAUGUGCAUGCAUCCGUCUUCCUCCCUUGGUUGUGCAAUCCCUAACCUCCACCCGCCGCCCCUCUUCUGUGCUGCCACAGUGCGCCCUUGUCGUUGGUAGGCCUCUUUUCUUUGCAGCUCUCUCUCUCUCGCUACUUCAUGCACUGGUGCAGAGGGCGUUGGUGCCGUGGAGACGAUCUAUUGCGGGAUGGAGUGGGCGGGAGGGAAGCGAAGGGAAGAGGGAGACAUCUCAUGUAUUGACCCACGUUGUCCUCCCCGCUCCCUCGCCUGCGUUUUCAUGUUGCGUGCUUGCAUCAUGUGCGCCUCACUCGAUUGCCUCUUUCUACUCCUUACGUGCGUGUCUAUGUAUCAGCAUUUUCAG
Molecule: unclassified non-coding RNA, 3998 nt
Filed under: Leishmania donovani
Lineage: Eukaryota; Euglenozoa; Kinetoplastea; Trypanosomatida; Trypanosomatidae
Description: gene:LdHU3.24.2750(CDS-product:hypothetical_prote in_conserved)
Source: RNAcentral